Molecule: ribosomal RNA, 253 nt
Filed under: uncultured bacterium
Lineage: Bacteria
Description: partial 16S ribosomal RNA
Rfam family: Bacterial small subunit ribosomal RNA
Source: RNAcentral
UACGAGGGGGGCGAGCGUUGUUCGGAAUUAUUGGGCGUAAAGGGUGCGUAGGCGGGUCUUUAAGUCAGGGGUGAAAUCCUGGAGCUCAACUCCAGAACUGCCUUUGAUACUGAGGAUCUUGAGUUCGGGAGAGGUGAGUGGAACUGCGAGUGUAGAGGUGAAAUUCGUAGAUAUUCGCAAGAACACCAGUGGCGAAGGCGGCUCACUGGCCCGAUACUGACGCUGAGGCACGAAAGCGUGGGGAGCAAACAGG